RNAcentral lists this ribosomal RNA (497 nucleotides) under uncultured bacterium. RNAcentral's name for it is "partial 16S ribosomal RNA". It matches the Rfam family "Bacterial small subunit ribosomal RNA", at positions 28 to 507 of the family's 1533-position model. The record is from RNAcentral.
GACGAACGCUGGCGGCGUGCCUAAUACAUGCAAGUUGAGCGAUGAAGAUUGGUGCUUGCACCAAUUUGAAGAGCAGCGAACGGGUGAGUAACGCGUGGGGAAUCUGCCUUUGAGCGGGGGACAACAUUUGGAAACGAAUGCUAAUACCGCAUAACAACUUUAAACAUAAGUUUUAAGUUUGAAAGAUGCAAUUGCAUCACUCAAAGAUGAUCCCGCGUUGUAUUAGCUAGUUGGUGAGGUAAAGGCUCACCAAGGCGAUGAUACAUAGCCGACCUGAGAGGGUGGUCGGCCACCUUGGGACUGGGACAAGGCCCAAACUCCUACGGGAGGCAGCAGUAGGGAAUCUUCGGCAAUGGACGAAAGUCUGACCGAGCAACGCCGCGGGAGUGAAGAAGGUUUUCGGAUCGUAAAACUCUGGUGGUAGAGAAGAACGUUGGUGAGAGUGGAAAGCUCAUCAAGUGACGGUAACUACCCAGAAAGGGACGGCUAACUACGUG